RNAcentral lists this ribosomal RNA (255 nucleotides) under uncultured bacterium. Its description in RNAcentral is "partial 16S ribosomal RNA". It matches the Rfam family "Bacterial small subunit ribosomal RNA", at positions 524 to 776 of the family's 1533-position model. The record is from RNAcentral.
UACGGAGGGUGCAAGCGUUAUCCGGAUUUACUGGGUUUAAAGGGUGCGUAGGCGGCCUGCUGCGUCGGUGCUGAAAGCGCCCGGCUUAACCGGGCGAGGCGUGCCGAUACGAGCGGGCUGGAGCCUUGGCGAGGGUGGGCGGAACGUCCUGGUGUAGUGGUGAAAUGCGUAGAGAUCAGGAAGAACACCCGUGGCGCAAGCGGCCACCUGGCCAAGAGCUGACGCUGAGGCACGAGAGCGUGGGGAGCGAACCGG